UAGCUCAGAUGGUAGAGAAUCUGCCUGCAAUACAGGAGACCCAGGUUCAAUCCCUGG
RNAcentral lists this transfer RNA (57 nucleotides) under Bos taurus (domestic cattle). It matches the Rfam family "tRNA", at positions 8 to 63 of the family's 71-position model. Rfam says of the family: Transfer RNA (tRNA) molecules are approximately 80 nucleotides in length. Their secondary structure includes four short double-helical elements and three loops (D, anti-codon, and T loops). Lineage: Eukaryota; Metazoa; Chordata; Mammalia; Artiodactyla; Bovidae. RNAcentral also lists the same sequence under 2 other names. The record is from Rfam by way of RNAcentral.